GACAGAGGGUGCAAACGUUGUUCGGAAUUACUGGGCGUAAAGCGCGUGUAGGCGGCUCUGUAAGUCGGGUGUGAAAUCCCACGGCUCAACCGUGGAAGUGCACUCGAAACUACAGGGCUAGAGUCCUGGAGAGGAAGGUGGAAUGCUUGGUGUAGAGGUGAAAUUCGUAGAUAUCAAGCGGAACACCGGUGGCGAAGGCGGCCUUCUGGACAGUGACUGACGCUGAGACCCGAAAGCGUGGGGAGCAAACAGG
Molecule: ribosomal RNA, 253 nt
Filed under: uncultured bacterium
Lineage: Bacteria
Description: partial 16S ribosomal RNA
Rfam family: Bacterial small subunit ribosomal RNA
Source: RNAcentral